Molecule: ribosomal RNA, 226 nt
Filed under: uncultured bacterium
Lineage: Bacteria
Description: partial 16S ribosomal RNA
Rfam family: Bacterial small subunit ribosomal RNA
Source: RNAcentral
GCGUUAUCCGGAUUCACUGGGUUUAAAGGGUGCGUAGGUGGGUCUGUAAGUCAGUGGUGAAAUCUCCGUGCUUAACAUGGAAACUGCCAUUGAUACUAUAGAUCUUGAAUUUUCUGGAGGUAAGCGGAAUAUGUCAUGUAGCGGUGAAAAGCUCAGAUAUGACAUAGAACACCACUUGCGAAGGCAGCUCCCUACACGAAUAUUGACACUGAGGCACGAAAGCGUG